GGCGCAGUGGCAGAGUGGUUAUUGCGUGUGACUAGAAUAUGCUUCUGGCCUAUCAUAUUCCUUCGGGAGCGCCUGUUCGAAUCAGGCCUGCGUCG
Molecule: non-coding RNA, 95 nt
Organism: Annulohypoxylon bovei var. microspora
Lineage: Eukaryota; Fungi; Ascomycota; Sordariomycetes; Xylariales; Hypoxylaceae
Source: the annotation of a GenBank genome assembly